CCUACGGUAUGCAGCAGUGGGGAAUAUUGGACAAUGGGCGAAAGCCUGAUCCAGCCAUGCCGCGUGUGUGAAGAAGGCCUUCGGGUUGUAAAGCACUUUCAGUGGGGAAGAAAGCCUUGGGGCUAAUACCCUCGAGGAAGGACAUCACCCACAGAAGAAGCACCGGCUAACUCCGUGACAGCAGCCGCGGUAAUACGGAGGGUGCGAGCGUUAAUCGGAAUUACUGGGCGUAAAGCGCGCGUAGGCGGUCUGAUAAGCCGGUUGUGAAAGCCCCGGGCUCAACCUGGGAACGGCAUCCGGAACUGUCAGGCUAGAGUGCAGGAGAGGAAGGUAGAAUUCCCGGUGUAGCGGUGAAAUGCGUAGAGAUCGGGAGGAAUACCAGUGGCGAAGGCGGCCUUCUGGACUGACACUGACGCUGAGGUGCGAAAGCGUGGGUAGCAAACAGGAUUAGAUACCCGUGUAGUC
Molecule: ribosomal RNA, 465 nt
Filed under: Vreelandella stevensii
Lineage: Bacteria; Pseudomonadati; Pseudomonadota; Gammaproteobacteria; Oceanospirillales; Halomonadaceae
Description: partial 16S ribosomal RNA
Rfam family: Bacterial small subunit ribosomal RNA
Source: RNAcentral